This is a long non-coding RNA of Gopherus evgoodei (Goodes thornscrub tortoise), 101 nucleotides long. RefSeq lists it as uncharacterized. Lineage: Eukaryota; Metazoa; Chordata; Testudines; Testudinidae. The record is from RefSeq and is a predicted model, not a curated record. The transcript is spliced from 3 exons.
AACUAUACAAAGUAAAGAGACUUAAAUCAAACUCAUCAUUUCUCAAGCAGCAUCUUUCUUUAGUUUGCCUAGCUGUAAAUUUCACCAAUCAUUGAUGGAAG